Molecule: ribosomal RNA, 549 nt
Filed under: uncultured Glomus
Lineage: Eukaryota; Fungi; Glomeromycota; Glomeromycetes; Glomerales; Glomeraceae
Description: SSU rRNA
Rfam family: Eukaryotic small subunit ribosomal RNA
Source: RNAcentral
UUGGAGGGCAAGUCUGGUGCCAGCAGCCGCGGUAAUUCCAGCUCCAAUAGCGUAUAUUAAAGUUGUUGCAGUUAAAAAGCUCGUAGUUGAAUUUCGGGAUCAAUUUGCUGGUCGUGCCUCUGGUACGUACUGGUAUUAUUGGUUUCUCCCUUCUGGCGAACCAUGAUGUCAUUAAUUUGAUGUCGUGGAGAAUCAGGACUGUUACUUUGAAAAAAUUAGAGUGUUUAAAGCAGGCAUUAGCUUGAAUACAUUAGCAUGGAAUAAUGAAAUAGGACGUUUGAUCCUAUUUUGUUGGUUUCUAGGAUUGACGUAAUGAUUAAUAGGGAUAGUUGGGGGCAUUAGUAUUCAAUUGUCAGAGGUGAAAUUCUUGGAUUUAUUGGAGACUAACUACUGCGAAAGCAUUUGCCAAGGAUGUUUUCAUUAAUCAAGAGCGAAAGUUAGGGGAUCGAAGACGAUCAGAUACCGUCGUAGUCUUAACCAUAAACUAUGCCGACUAGGGAUCGGAUGAUGUUAAUUUUUUAAUGACUCAUUCGGCGCCUUACGGGAAAC